CAGCCUGCCCAUCACCACGGCAUGUUUUUGUCGCAAUAGUCGCGCUCGUAGAGUAGCUCUCGUAGAGUAGCGACUGCAUAUUUACCCAGAAAUAGCCAUCUUCCAAGAGGCUUUUCCUUUAAAGGCGGGCGCAGAGGAUCCGCAUGGCCUCUACCAGCAGGUGACCCCAACAUCCGCAUGAAAGGAGACGAACGCGGUUGGUUUGGAUGCUAUGGGGCGUCCAGAAUGAGCGAGCGGGCUUUCAAGGAUCCAGAAAGGGAGACAGAGAGAGAAAUGGAGAAAGAGAGAUAGACAUAGAAACACAGUGAGGGAGGGAAAAAGCAUAGCGAUGUGCUGUACUGUAUGAAGUGGUGCAGAGAGAGAGACUAGGAGAGAGAAUAAAUUGAAGACACACGGUCACAGAGGCCAGGGGAUGGUGCACGAGGGGGCCGUGGUGUCAAAUGCCUCCAGUCACGUGCACACGUAUGUGUGAGAGCAUGCACGUAAAGACGUGCACUAGACACAGCACCGCCCCGCAGAGAAGGUGGUGGAGCUGAGAGGGCACAGCGAGACACCAAACCUGACCAGAGUUAGCGCUCAGAGCUAGGCAAGCCGCUCGUUCUGUAUAGGAACAGAGUUAGCACUGAGAGCUAACACAAGCUAAGGCCUCCGUCGAAACAGAGGUCAGAGAGAGAGAGAGAGAGAG
Molecule: long non-coding RNA, 685 nt
Organism: Gadus chalcogrammus (walleye pollock)
Lineage: Eukaryota; Metazoa; Chordata; Actinopteri; Gadiformes; Gadidae
Exons: 3
Source: RefSeq, a predicted model, not a curated record